UACGAAGGGUGCAAGCGUUAAUCGGAAUUAUUGGGCGUAAAGCGCGCGUAGGCGGUUUGUUAAGUCUGCUGUGAAAUCCCCGGGCUCAACCUGGGAACGGCAGUGGAUACUGGCAAGCUAGAGUGUGUCAGAGGGUGGUGGAAUUCCCGGUGUAGCGGUGAAAUGCGUAGAGAUCGGGAGGAACAUCAGUGGCGAAGGCGGCCACCUGGGACAACACUGACGCUGAGGCGCGAAAGCGUGGGGAGCAAACAGG
RNAcentral lists this ribosomal RNA (253 nucleotides) under uncultured bacterium. RNAcentral's name for it is "partial 16S ribosomal RNA". It matches the Rfam family "Bacterial small subunit ribosomal RNA", at positions 524 to 776 of the family's 1533-position model. The record is from RNAcentral.